GGUGUUUGGCCAUCUGGUGCAUGUUAAAGGAAUCAAAGGUCAUGACUAGAUGUACACUCAUCU
RNAcentral lists this microRNA precursor (63 nucleotides) under Eisenia fetida (common brandling worm). Lineage: Eukaryota; Metazoa; Annelida; Clitellata; Crassiclitellata; Lumbricidae. The record is from RNAcentral.